RNAcentral lists this ribosomal RNA (441 nucleotides) under uncultured bacterium. RNAcentral describes it as "bacterial SSU rRNA". It matches the Rfam family "Bacterial small subunit ribosomal RNA", at positions 958 to 1398 of the family's 1533-position model. The record is from RNAcentral.
AACGCGAAGAACCUUACCUACCCUUGACAUCCAGAGGAGAUUGCAGAGAUGCGAUUGUGCCGAAAGGAACUCUGAGACAGGUGCUGCAUGGCUGUCGUCAGCUCGUGUUGUGAGAUGUUGGGUUAAGUCCCGCAACGAGCGCAACCCUUAUCCCUAGUUGCCAUCGGGUCAAGCCGGGCACUCUAGUGAAACUGCCUCGGAUAACGAGGAGGAAGGUGGGGAUGACGUCAAGUCCUCAUGGCCUUUAUGUCCAGGGCUACACACGUGCUACAAUGGUCGGUACAAACCGUCGCAAACCCGUGAGGGGGAGCUAAUCGGAAAAAGCCGGCCUCAGUUCGGAUUGGAGUCUGCAACUCGACUCCAUGAAGCUGGAAUCGCUAGUAAUCGCGGAUCAGAACGCCGCGGUGAAUACGUUCCCGGGCCUUGUACACACCGGUACUA